ACCCAGCUGACAAGUCCCAAACAGGACGAAACGCGCAUCCUGGAU
This 45-nucleotide non-coding RNA is filed under the name Schistosoma margrebowiei. The record is from RNAcentral. Lineage: Eukaryota; Metazoa; Platyhelminthes; Trematoda; Strigeidida; Schistosomatidae.